Molecule: ribosomal RNA, 1292 nt
Filed under: Phoxinus phoxinus (Eurasian minnow)
Lineage: Eukaryota; Metazoa; Chordata; Actinopteri; Cypriniformes; Leuciscidae
Description: partial 16S ribosomal RNA
Rfam family: Bacterial large subunit ribosomal RNA
Source: RNAcentral
CAUGAUUUAGCCAGCACCCUCAAGCGGAGAGCCCUAUAGUUUGAAACCCCGAAACCAGGUGAGCUACCCCGAGACAGCCUAUGUUAAUUUAGGGCUAACCCGUCUCUGUGGCAAAAGAGUGGGAGGAGCUCCGGGUAGAAGUGAAAAGCCUACCGAACCUGGUGAUAGCUGGUUGCCUAGGAAGUGGAUAGAAGUUCAGCCUCGCAUGCCCCAAAUCAAAGAAGAUAUUAUUAAGAUAAUUAGGGAAAUGUGUGAGAGUUAGUUGAAGGGGGUACAGCCCCUUUAAUAAAGGAUACAACCUUAACAGGAGGAUAAAGAUCAUAAUAUGUAAGAUAUACUGUUCUAGUGGGCUUGAAAGCAGCCACCUAAAUAGAAAGCGUUAAAGCUCGGACAGAAGGAAAUUUAUUAUACUGAUAAAAAAUCUUAAUCCCCUAAUUAUACUAGGCCAACCCAUGCCUACAUGGAAGAGAUUAUGCUAGAAUGAGUAACAGGAGGAUAUGAUCCUCUCCCAGCACAAGUGUAAACCAGAUCGGACAAGCCACUGGAACUUAACGAGCCCAACCCAAGAGGGCAGUGUGGACAACAGAAACUUCAAGAAGACCUCACACUAAUGUAUCGUUAAUCCCACACUGGAGUGCUAUAUUUAAGGGAAAGACUAAAAGAGGGGAAAGGAACUCGGCAAACACAAGCCUCGCCUGUUUACCAAAAACAUCGCCUCCUGCAACUAGACUGAGUAUAGGAGGUCCAGCCUGCCCAGUGACUAUGGGUUCAACGGCCGCGGUAUUUUGACCGUGCAAAGGUAGCGCAAUCACUUGUCUCUUAAAUAGAGACCUGUAUGAAUGGCUAGACGAGGGCUUAACUGUCUCCCCCCUCCGGUCAGUGAAAUUGAUCUAUCCGUGCAGAAGCGGGUAUAAAUACACAAGACGAGAAGACCCUUUGGAGCUUAAGGUACAAACUUAACCACGUUAAACAACUUCAUAGAGAGCAAGAACUUAGUGGCGAUAAGACUUUACCUUCGGUUGGGGCGACCAUGGAGGAGAAACAAGCCUCCAAGUGGGCCGGGCCAAACCCCCUUCCCUAAAGCCAAGAGAUACAUCUCUAGGCCGCAGAACAUCUGACCAAAAAUGAUCCGACUAUAAAGUCGAUCAACGGACCAAGUUACCCAAGGGAUAACAGCGCAAUCCCCUCCCAGAGUCCAUAUCUACGAGGGGGUUUACGACCUCGAUGUUGGAUCAGGACAUCCUAAUGGUGCAGCCGCUAUUAAGGGUUCGUUUGUUCAACGAUUAAAGUCC